GCAAUUUCUCCAUCGGGCUGCUCAAGAGAGAAACUGGACCUGCAUGUUAAGACGGACUCAUCCCCCCGCCCUGUGUUCUCUUCAUCCCUCCCCCUUUGUUUUUUGUACUCGUAACUGGCUCCACACCUUCCUGGAAGAGUCUACAUUUGACUACAAACCAGCACAGUUCCUCCUAGAGGGACUUGAGUAGCUGACUCUCAUCCCCCUCCUUCCAACCCUCCAAGCAUCCACUGCCAGCCCAGCAGGGCGCCAGCAUCCCAUGCCCACCCACGCUUGGAUUGCAGGUCCCAGCAGGUGCCCCUGCCUGCCUUAUUCCAGUGGCCUGUGCCACAUAGGACUGAGGCCUGUGACUUGUGCCCAG
Molecule: long non-coding RNA, 361 nt
Filed under: Rattus norvegicus (Norway rat)
Lineage: Eukaryota; Metazoa; Chordata; Mammalia; Rodentia; Muridae
Description: long non-coding RNA NONRATT025533
Source: RNAcentral